UCUGAAACCUUCUAUUUCAGACUUUUGAAAACAAAUACGAGCCACGGUACUUCAGCAACAGCUAACUAUUAGUUAUCCAUUAAGAUGUUCCAUCAGGCAGUGCUGUAGCCUCAUACACAUUUUUCGUCUCUAAAGGAAUGCAUCUUUUAUAUCUAGAGUUGUGAAGGAGCACCAGAAGCAAAAGGACCGAUUGAAUCUGGACC
Molecule: long non-coding RNA, 203 nt
Filed under: Elaeis guineensis (African oil palm)
Lineage: Eukaryota; Viridiplantae; Streptophyta; Magnoliopsida; Arecales; Arecaceae
Description: long non-coding RNA (EGUI_LNC001909)
Source: RNAcentral